Molecule: ribosomal RNA, 119 nt
Filed under: Cebus imitator (Panamanian white-faced capuchin)
Lineage: Eukaryota; Metazoa; Chordata; Mammalia; Primates; Cebidae
Source: RNAcentral
GUCUACGGCCAUACCACCUUGAAGACGCCCGAUCUCGUCUGAUCUCAGAAACUAAGCAGGGUCGGGCCUGGUUAGUACUUGGAUGGGAGACUGCCCAGGAAUACCGGGUGCUGUAGGCU